GAUGAACGCUGGCGGCGUGCCUAAUACAUGCAAGUCGAGCGAACAGACGAGGAGCUUGCUCCUCUGACGUUAGCGGCGGACGGGUGAGUAACACGUGGAUAACCUACCUAUAAGACUGGGAUAACUUCGGGAAACCGGAGCUAAUACCGGAUAAUAUAUUGAACCGCAUGGUUCAAUAGUGAAAGACGGUUUUGCUGUCACUUAUAGAUGGAUCCGCGCCGCAUUAGCUAGUUGGUAAGGUAACGGCCUACCAAGGCAACGAUGCGUAGCCGACCUGAGAGGGUGAGCGGCCACACUGGAACUGACACACGGUCCAGACCCCUACGGGAGGCAGCAGGAGGGAAUCUUCCGCAAGGGGCGAAAGCUUGACGGAGCAACGCCGCGUGAGUGAUGAAGGUCUUCGGAUCGUAAAACUCUGUUAUUAGGGAAGAACAAAUGUGUAAGUAACUAUGCACGUCUUGACGGUACCUAAUCAGAAAGCCACGGCUAACUACGU
This 496-nucleotide ribosomal RNA is filed under the name uncultured bacterium. RNAcentral's name for it is "partial 16S ribosomal RNA". It matches the Rfam family "Bacterial small subunit ribosomal RNA", at positions 28 to 506 of the family's 1533-position model. The record is from RNAcentral.